GCCCUCGUAGAUCGUGGUGAUCGCUCCUGUUGCAUGUCGACUGAGUGAUAUGAUUUCAGGAGAGGCGGAGGUUCGAAUCCUCCCGGGGGCU
Mycena leptocephala is the source of this 91-nucleotide non-coding RNA. The record is from the annotation of a GenBank genome assembly. Lineage: Eukaryota; Fungi; Basidiomycota; Agaricomycetes; Agaricales; Mycenaceae.